UUUAACGGUCGCGGUAUCCUGACCGUGCGAAGGUAGCAUAAUCACUUGUCUUUUAAAUAAAGACUAGAAUGAAUGGCUAAACGAGGUUCUCCCUGUCUCUUACAAACAAUCAGUGAAAUUGAUUUUACUGUGCAAAAGCAGUAAUAUCCCCAUAAGACGAGAAGACCCUGUGGRACUUUAAGAACUAAUCAGCGAGCCAAAUUUAACUACCCCUCUCCCCAUGGGUCCACAUUAAACAUUCCCCUGAUUAUUACUUUCGGUUGGGGCGACCUCGGAGAACAAUAAAACCUCCGAAGAUAGGGCUAUUUCUCCUAAUUAAGAAUGACAUUUCAAAAUACCACUAGGUCCCAAAUGAUCCAAUAUUUUUGAUCAACGAACAAAGCUACCCCAGGGAUAACAGCGCAAUCCCCCUUCAGAGUUCAUAUCAACAGGGGGGUUUACGACCUCGAUGUUGGAUCAGRACAUCCUA
Molecule: ribosomal RNA, 469 nt
Filed under: Erymnochelys madagascariensis
Lineage: Eukaryota; Metazoa; Chordata; Testudines; Podocnemididae
Description: partial 16S ribosomal RNA
Rfam family: Bacterial large subunit ribosomal RNA
Source: RNAcentral